CCCGUGCCCAGCCCACGGCAGGUGCGCAGGAAGUCCCCGCGCCGUGGAGCUCCGGCGGGCAUCCUGCUACGUGAACAGUGACGAGAACAAGACCGGCAGGGCACGGCCGCCGCGGGAGGGCACGGACGCGGGGGCCUCCUUGACUUCAGGAGACUCCCGUCCCACCGGCGUAGCAGUGGGGGUCAGGGCUCUGGGCAUCACUCUGUGCCCUGCCCCGUCCCCAGGCUGAAUUGCCGUCCAGGGCUUGCUCAAGGCCGCCCGGGCAGGGCUGGGGCUCGCCCUCGGGUGCUGGACUCUCAGCUCUGGGCCCGGAGCUCCCUUCCCUCGGGGUGGCACGCAGGUGGGGGACGGCCACUGAGGGCAGUGGGUCGGGGGCCCUGGAGUCAGACGCGGGGCCUGCCCAGGAAUGCUGCGGGAGUGCCCAGGAACGCAGGGAAAGGACCAGGACGCGCAGGCGCCCCCAGACAAGCGGCCUUCAUCGGGAUGUCCCGGCCUCCAGGGGAGGAGGGGGAGAAGCAGCGGCUCAGGGAACUUCUGCAGGUGACAGGCGCUCCCCGGCACCCCGAGCUGAGCAAGGGCGUCUCGUGGACGCUCAGCCAAAGUGCAUGGACCCCCGAGCUGUGCGUCAGCAGCAAAGGGAGGUCAAGGUUCUUCGCAAGGGGCUGACACCCCCGGGGCCCUGCGAGCCACUCCCGGACACGAGAGGGGCACUUGUUUAUCGGCAACUGGAUGGCCCAGCAUGUGGCCCCGGGGAGUUGCCCACACCUUCCCCCCGCCCCGGGACGGAGGGGGCAGAGCCUGACUGGCCGGGGGCUGGACAGGUGCAGGGCCCGAGGGACCGGGACAGGUCAGUUCCUGUGAGGAAAUGAAGGCCUGGAGUUGAGACGUCCCCGCAGAGGGCGAGCGUGGGGGGGGCAGGGUGCUGCCCGCAUCUGCCUUCCCCUACCCGCCCCCCCCACCCGGGCCCAGGUGCUCAUCUGUAGGUUGCGGACCGGCUCCCGGGGCAGCCCGAGGGUCACCAGGGUUACCCAGUGGGCAGCCCGUGCCC
Molecule: long non-coding RNA, 1048 nt
Filed under: Canis lupus familiaris (dog)
Lineage: Eukaryota; Metazoa; Chordata; Mammalia; Carnivora; Canidae
Description: lncRNA (ENSCAFG00000049786.2, ENSCAFG00845002381.1)
Source: RNAcentral